AACGAACGCUGGCGGCAGGCCUAACACAUGCAAGUCGAGCGAGGACUUCGGUUCUAGCGGCGGACGGGUGAGUAACGCGUGGGAAUGUGCCCUUCUCUACGGAAUAGCCCUGGGAAACUGGGAGUAAUACCGUAUACGCCCUUUUGGGGAAAGAUUUAUCGGAGAAGGAUCAGCCCGCGUUGGAUUAGGUAGUUGGUGGGGUAAUGGCCUACCAAGCCGACGAUCCAUAGCUGGUUUGAGAGGAUGAUCAGCCACACUGGGACUGAGACACGGCCCAGACUCCUACGGGAGGCAGCAGUGGGGAAUCUUAGACAAUGGGGGCAACCCUGAUCUAGCCAUGCCGCGUGAGUGAUGAAGGCCUUAGGGUUGUAAAGCUCUUUCAGCUGGGAAGAUAACGACGGUACCAGCAGAAGAAGCCCCGGCUAACUCCGUG
RNAcentral lists this ribosomal RNA (433 nucleotides) under uncultured bacterium. RNAcentral's name for it is "partial 16S ribosomal RNA". It matches the Rfam family "Bacterial small subunit ribosomal RNA", at positions 29 to 507 of the family's 1533-position model. The record is from RNAcentral.